RNAcentral lists this ribosomal RNA (31 nucleotides) under Nala lividipes. RNAcentral describes it as "partial 28S ribosomal RNA". Lineage: Eukaryota; Metazoa; Arthropoda; Insecta; Dermaptera; Labiduridae. The record is from RNAcentral.
UCUCAUUCUCAUUGCGAGAAGAGGCGCACCU